Paenibacillus naphthalenovorans is the source of this 37-nucleotide small RNA. It matches the Rfam family "abiF RNA". The record is from Rfam. Lineage: Bacteria; Bacillati; Bacillota; Bacilli; Caryophanales; Paenibacillaceae.
CCCACCACGCCUCUUAACAAUGCGUACCAAGGUGGGC